Ceratina calcarata is the source of this 3294-nucleotide RNA transcript. It is a transcript of the gene named RNA-binding protein lark, with no coding region annotated. Lineage: Eukaryota; Metazoa; Arthropoda; Insecta; Hymenoptera; Apidae. The record is from RefSeq and is a predicted model, not a curated record. The transcript has 6 exons.
CGCCAUUGUUAGAUUGCGUUCCCUUGUGUAAAGUCUCGCGUGUCCGAUUUCGUUGGCGGUUUAGUCGUUCGUUUAGUACGUUUCUACGCAGUAAUUGUGGGUGAGUCUAAAAGCAAGCGUGCGGAAUCGAAGCAUACAUCACGUUACGGUAAUCCAAAGAAGCGGAUCUAAUCCCGUAAACUUCUUAGGAUCCGUGCGCCAUUUCGGCAAGGUUCUAGUACGAGCCGAAAAUGCCGGGUUUUAGUAGCGUUGGCACAUUCAAAAUUUUCAUCGGUAAUUUAGCCGAUAAAACAUCAAAUGCCGACAUUAAACCGUUAUUCGAAAAGUACGGAAAGGUUGUAGAGUGCGACGUGGUCAAAAAUUAUGGAUUUGUGCACAUGGAAAAUGAAGAAGCCGGGAGAAACGCGAUACAAAAUUUGAACGGACAUAUAGUUCACGGCCAGCCGAUCAAGUGUGAGGCUGCGAAGAGUCGUAAGGGACCUAACACUCCUACUACAAAAAUAUUCGUCGGCAAUCUCACAGAUAACACGAAAGCGCCGCAAGUGCGCGAAUUGUUUGCCAAGUACGGCACCGUCGUAGAAUGCGACAUCGUGAGAAAUUACGGAUUCGUCCAUCUAGAAGCAACAGGUGAUGUCAACGAUGCCAUCAAGGAACUCAAUGGACAGAUGGUGGAUGGUCAGCCAAUGAAGGUUCAAAUUUCUACGAGUAGAGUACGACAAAGGCCAGGAAUGGGAGAUCCUGAACAGUGCUACCGAUGCGGUCGCGGCGGUCAUUGGUCCAAGGAAUGUCCGAAAGGAGGAAUGGGAGGAGGACCAGAUAGGAAUGGAUACAGAGACCGAAUGUUUGGACGUGACCCGUAUCCUCCACCGCCGCCACCACCGUUCCUUCGGGACCGGUUAAUGGGUGGUGGCCGCUUUGGAGAUUACGAAGGAUACUAUGACAGGAGGGGCUUCGAGGACACCAGGGAUCUCUACGAGAGGCGGUUUACGGGUAUGACAGGGCCCUGUGACAUGGGAAGUUCCAUGUGCGGGCUUGACUUUCCACCAAUGACAAUGCCACCUCUACCCCCAAGACGAGACCCAAUGCCUCCUAUGCCUCCUCUAGGUAUGGGAUCCAUGCGUGACACUGGCUUCUCCCGUGGUAACGAGUAUGGCAUGUUCAGUCGCCGAUCACCCCCUCCGAGUGGCAACAACGGCCGGUUCAGUGCACCUCAGGCUGCGUACCAUCUUUGUCCAUGAAUGCGGGCAACCCUAGAGAGACAGUCCCGGGCCAGCGUUCAAGUCGUGCAAGAACCGGGAUUACGAGGGCCAUCGCCGUCGCGCCGGUUCGCACCAUACUAAAUCGUCGCGUCGGGCUCGGAUCGGUCUCUGUCGGUCUGUCUGUCUCUGUGUCGGGUCUGUGUCUGUCGCUAGCAGGAAGCCUCGGGACCGAGAUACUCUUGGCCGUCUGUGUCUGUCGAUCUGCACGCGCGAAGAUCUACCAUUCGCCCGCUCUAUCGGAACAUGUACUCUCUCCGCAGUAUAUGCUAUUUAGACGAGAAUCCCCCGUCCGCUCCCCUUUAAAUGAGAAUACAGAAAUCAUACCGAUUAAGCAGUAAAAAAAUUUUAUCGAAUUGUGCAGGUCUCUGUUAGGACGCCGUUGCCGUUUACCCCUUCGCUCUUUAUUUCUUCUUCCUACCGAUGCCCGCCCGAUUUUCCCACUUUCGAGAUUUAUGCAUGACGCGCAUCUCGUUACGAUGUUCCAUCAGCUUUUUCCUUUGGCACCUUCUCAAUUCCUUCGAACCGUUUUGCCAUGUUCAAUAUUUCUUGCCCGGUCCCUUCAAAACACUCUUCUUUGGUAUUUCGACACGCGUAUCUAUUCGAUAGUCAUCGAAUCGAUAAGCAGAUUUUCUCAUUUUCGAUGUAAGAAAUUGUAUUGUGGCAUCCUCCUACCGAAUAGAUUUUUCGACCGGCUGUUCAAUUGGAUUCAUUUUUGAUUUGCUUCCAUUAUUCUGCAGAGAGCGAAACAAUUCGUUCUUCAUGUUCGCUAAUUCAAAUUCUAUUUAAGUUAAUUCGAAGAAUGAAUUGGUAGGAUGAUGCAUAUAUAUAAUAUAUAUAAAUAAAGUGUUCGAUGGCCGUUUCUGUGACAAUGACGCGCGCGUACGCGCAUUCUUGAUUUGAGAUCGUACAAAUAUUUCGCGUCCCUUCUGCGACAAAACGUUUCAAUCGCGGUUACUGUCUCUACUCAAACCCGAUCGUCAAGAACUAUCGAUCGGACAAAUCUGCAGUCAAACGAUAAUGAUAUUGAUUGGAAUAGAAGCUGAGCUUCGCGUCUUUUUUCCACCGUUACGAGCUGGGCGUUUCGCUACGUGUCGCAAUCACAAAAUCGGAGCAUCGUAUAAACGUACGUUCGUGAACAUUUAUUUUACUUCAUUCUUUUUGUUUCAUUUUUGUUACUUCCGCCUUACGCGCGGGUUUCGUUUGUCACAUCUUGGACGAUCCCGAUAGAUUCAACCCCGUAAAAUUUGUCUAGGCAAUAACGGGAUUUUCGUAAUGCGUGCGAAAAUAAUUGUAAAUGGCAGAGCGGUUGUUCGAAUUAUGCGAUGAUAAAGUUUCUUGCUUAGCUUAUUAAGAGGCGCCGAUGAAGGCAACAAUCUGCGUGCGUGUGACCGAUACCGUGUAACAUCCUCCCGUCGUGUAUCCUGAUUCUUCUCGAUACGGGAUGAUAGAUAAUAUCGUAUUUAUGUAAUUUUCCUUUAAAGUAACGAGAGAAAUGCGUGCGGGUUCGACUAUUCGAAUCAUUUGACCCGAUCAUGAAGAACGAAAAAAACCUUAAUCAUACAAUUUCUGAUACACAAUAGUCUCGUAGGAUGCGUCGAUUCUGUAUUGAAAUCGUAAAGUCGGUCGUGCGAAUAUUAUAUCGUUAAUCUGUAGUAACGUAAUAUCGUUUUAUUAACGUAUUAGAAUUAAUUAUCGUGGAUAAUUACCGAAGGUCAAUAUGGUAAUCGCAGUUGCGCUCCGUUUAGCUUAUAAAUACACGUAAACAGAUAUACACACACACUCACAUUUAAAUAUAUACGGAUGACCAUCGUUUUUCGUUUCGAGCAGCGUAUGCACAGCGUGGCUGUGUAAUAUUUCUCUAUCUUCAAUAUUUUUUUUCUUUUUUUCUCGUUCUCUUCCUCUUUUAUUUGAUAAUACGACCUGUUUUCAAUGGUAAUUAGAUUAAUGAUAAUCAUACUAAUAAUGGUUUAAAGAAGCGAAUGUAAUAACAAUGUACUGUAAAAUUCACAAAAAAAGGCGUUUCGUGUUCUUUAAU